This 489-nucleotide ribosomal RNA is filed under the name uncultured bacterium. RNAcentral's name for it is "partial 16S ribosomal RNA". It matches the Rfam family "Bacterial small subunit ribosomal RNA", at positions 29 to 507 of the family's 1533-position model. The record is from RNAcentral.
GUGCACGCUGGCGGUAGGCCUAACACCUGCAAGUCGAACGGCAGCACAGGAGAGCUUGCUCUCUGGGUGGCGAGUGGCGGACGGGUGAGGAAUACAUCGGAAUCUGCCCAGUCGUGGGGGAUAACGUAGGGAAACUUACGCUAAUACCGCAUACGACCUUCGGGUGAAAGAGGGGGAUCGCAAGACCUCUCGCGAUUGGAUGAGCCGAUGUCGGAUUAGCUAGUUGGCGGGGUAAUGGCCCACCAAGGCGACGAUCCGUAGCUGGUCUGAGAGGAUGAUCAGCCACACUGGAACUGAGACACGGUCCAGACUCCUACGGGAGGCAGCAGUGGGGAAUAUUGGACAAUGGGCGCAAGCCUGAUCCAGCCAUACCGCGUGGGUGAAGAAGGCCUUCGGGUUGUAAAGCCCUUUUGUUGGGAAAGAAAUCUUUCAGGCUAAUACCCUGGGAGGAUGACGGUACCCAAAGAAUAAGCACCGGCUAACUUCGUG